CCCUAAAUCUUGAUACUUACUAUACUAAAGUAUCCGCCUGAGAACUACGAGCACAAACGCUUAAAACUCUAAGGACUUGGCGGUGCCCCAAACCCACCUAGAGGAGCCUGUCCUAUAAUCGAUAAUCCACGAUACACCCAACCGCCCCUUGCCAAAACAGCCUACAUACCGCCGUCGCCAGCUCACCUCCACUGAGAGUACAACAGUGAGCACAAUAGUCUUAACCCACUAGCAAGACAGGACAAGGUAUAGCACAUGGGGCGGAAGAGAUGGGCUACAUUUACUAAAAUAGAAGAACAACGGAAAGGGAUGUGAAAACAAUCCCUAGAAGGCGGAUUUAGCAGUAAAGCGGAACAAUACAGACCCC
RNAcentral lists this ribosomal RNA (367 nucleotides) under Podiceps auritus. RNAcentral describes it as "partial 12S ribosomal RNA". It matches the Rfam family "Bacterial small subunit ribosomal RNA", at positions 800 to 1361 of the family's 1533-position model. Lineage: Eukaryota; Metazoa; Chordata; Aves; Podicipediformes; Podicipedidae. The record is from RNAcentral.